CAUCCUUCAUGACCUUUUAUUCCUAAACCUUUUAAAGCUGAUAUCACACCAUUUUCUUUUGAUCAUUUCAAAUUUGUUUGUUGUUGUAAUUUUAAUAAUUAUUUACAAAUAUGGUAUCAUAUUUUUUGAGACUGUAAGCUGAAAUCUCCCUGAGGGUGAUUUUUUUUUGUUUGUUAUUAUAAGCUACUGAUUUCAUAUACUUUUGUGUUCCACAGAGUGCAAACACAGAUCUAAAUGUGGAGAAAGUUUUCUUUUCCUUACAAGGUAUUCAUACAAGACUUUCUACACUUUAGAGAAUGAGAAGUCCAAUAAUAUCCUUGCAGUAUGAUAUUCGAAAUCAGAACCUAGGCGCUAUAAACUCUGGGUUGAAUCAUAAGGGCAUUGGUAGUGCUGAAGGUUUUAAUUUAUUGAUGUGGAUCAUUCGAAUUCAGAAACUAUGGUUCUUAAGCUAAGUUAGAUAAUCUGAAAUUCAGGGGUUCUCCAUAGAUUGUUCUUUCUUUUUUAUAUCAACCCAAUUAAUUUUAGGGGUUGAUUUCUACAAACAUCUAGAAUUUGAAAACCUAACCGAUAAGAAAUUAAUGGCUAGAUGGUGGUGUUGUGAUCAACCAAAUAUGUGUUGUUUGUUGUAAGAAUUGUAUAUGCAGGUAUGCACAUUUCUAGAGUGAUAUAUGCGCAGAUCUCUACCGGAUCCAUGAAAAAAAAUGUAUUAAGAUUUUCCAAUGGAUAUAGAGGUAGGAAAGGAAAACAACUCGUUGUUGUAAUUUGCUAUAGGAAGCAAAGAAAAAAAUGUUGUUAUAUGAAACUAAUCAAAAAAAGAAGCAGAUUUGGUAUUGAAUCAUCAAGGAAUUUGA
This is a long non-coding RNA of Papaver somniferum (opium poppy), 851 nucleotides long. RefSeq lists it as uncharacterized. The transcript has 3 exons. NCBI's taxonomy places the organism in Eukaryota, Viridiplantae, Streptophyta, Magnoliopsida, Ranunculales, Papaveraceae. The record is from RefSeq and is a predicted model, not a curated record.